CUUUAUUUAUGGAUGCCGAAAUUUGAAUUUCAAAUAACUUUCACGUGUCACAAAAUAUUAUUCUUUUGAUUUUUCCAACCAUUUAAAAACGUAACCACAGUUUGCUGACCUCAACUAUAAGCUAUUAGCAGAUUAUUGCUUUAAGUUCCUUUAUCUCAUCAAAUUACCGUGAACCACUGCGAACAAAAAGGUAUAUUUUUUACGUGGAAGUGAUUAUAUUCAAAGAUAAAUUAUUUUGAACUUCAAAACAUAAAGUUCAUAUCUGAAAUGCAGUCUUUUGGGACCUAAUUAUUCAAACACUACUAGAGCCAUUAAGGAAAAACCUACAGUAGACAUAGAAGAACAAUAGUUAAUAGUUUACUCUUAAUAUUUACUGAAAAUUUUGGCAUGGCCAACUGUCAAUCAAAAUUGACUAUAGUGGAGCCAUUUUAAAAUGGAGUUGGAGCUGCCUUCCUAGAGAAACUGCCUUGCUGUCUUGAGCCUUGGACUGGGCCAAAUCUUUGAAGUGGGCUAAAAUGGCUAUUGUUUUACAAGGAAUUGUUUGCAAAGUCAGCAGGAAAAUGGACAUCCUGAUCACAAAGGCUGAGGAUUGUCUUUCUGAAGAUAGAGGACUUUGUGAAGAUAGAAUAAAUAGUCAAUCAAUGUUUAGCUAAGACUAGCUUUUGCCUCCAAAUCCAAUUAAAAUUCUUUGUAAUAUAAACCUCCCUUGUUUGCCUUUAAAAGACCCUGACUUUAGGGGGCCAGCCCCAUGGCGCAGCGGUUAAGUGCGCACCUUCUGCCUCUGUGACCUGGCACUGCUUGGCAAGCCAUGCUGUGGCAGGCGUCCCACAUAUAAAGUGGAGGAAGAUGGGCACGGAUGUUAGCUCAGGGCCAGGCUUCCUCAGCAAAAAGAGGAGGAUUGGCAGCAGAUGUUAGCUCAGGGCUAAUUUUCCUGAAAAAAAAAAAAACAAGCCCCUGACUUUUACUCCCUAGUGGGAUACUAGGUUUCUACCUGAAUUGGGUUUCUACCUGAAUCUGUGCUCCCCAAAUUGCAAUUCUUUGAUCCCAAAUAAACACUUUGCCUCUUAAACUGGUUUCUAUUUUUGAAGGUUGACAUAUGGUGUCAGAAAGUGGGAACUGAAUCGAUCUCACCUUCAUGGACUGGCAUCCUCUGGAAAUGGCUACAAUACCUACACGAGUCCCUUGUGUUCACCACUUCUAUGGACCGCUAGUUCCUCCAAUAGAAGCUUAGUCCUGAGCUAACAUCUGCUGCCAAUCCUUCUCUUUUUGCUGAGGAAGACUGGCCCUGAGCUAACAUCCGUGCCCAUCUUUCUCCACUUUAUAUGUGGGACGCCUACCACAUGGCUUGCCAAGUGGUGCCAUGUCUGCACCUGGGAUCCAAACUGGCAAACCCUGGGCCACCAAAGAGGAAUGUGUGAACUUAACUGCUGCGCCACCGGGCUGGCCCUGUAGUGAGAUCUUUAACCAUGCCACUUUAAGUCUUUUGUCAUUUACAGACAGUUAUUGUUUUACUCUGAUACUUUUGGAAAUGUGUCUCAUCUUCAGAGAGCUUCAUGGAAAGGACUCUGACCUUCUAGAAUUCAGGUUUCUAGUAAAAUUUCAAAUUAUAAAACUGAACUGGGUAAGAAAUUACAGUACUCCUACAGAGACUCAUGGCUUCAUAAAAUUGCUAACAAAAAGGUCAAAGAACAAAUAAAUAUUAAUUACAUGGGACUACAUGAACCAGGGAGGAUGCUCUAAUGUUUUUUUUUUCCAGAUUUAAAGAAAUCUUUUCUCUUAAGCUGUCACAACGUGGUAGGAUAUAUCUUUGUGAACAAAGAUGAAACAUUUACUUUUUCUCCCUACCUCAUCCCUCCAGAAUUCAGAAACUGUCAGUGAGUAUUCUUAUUUUCCCUUUAUAAAUAAUCAGACCAAGUUUUAAAUUUAAACAAAUGUUUUACUGUUAUUAUUUUUGGUAAAAAAUGAGGGUAAUUGUAGAGAGAAAAAUUAUGUUUGCACCUUUGUAGAUAUUAGAUUCUAGUCCUGUUAAUUGUCUUUGAGGUUUUGUUAUAUACCUGUUGACUGGAUUCCUCUGACCUAAGGUAUUGUCUUUGGUCUUGCCAACUAUUCCCAGUACCCUCUUUGGAAAACAUACUCACUCCACAUAAGAUAGUCACCAGCAGAUAAAUGUCUGUUGACAUACAACCUUCUGCUGAUCCCUCGUUGUCUUAUGCUAGUAUGACCAGUUACUGUAAGUUUCUACUGUCUUCUACUCAAGGCUUUCAUCAACAGGUAAAAGAAACUUUCCUGGAUUCCAAUUUAAAGCAUCCUAUUGGUCAGUCUAGAGCCUGGUGACUAGGUAUUCUGGAAGCAUCAUCAGAGGAAGACAGCCCUCAAGCCUUGUUGAAAAGGACCUUACCAAGUGCUCCUGACCACUGAUACUACUGCAGAACUAGAAGGCAUUGAACCUUGGAGAUACAUCUCACAGCUAAAGAAGGCUACACCCAACAUUUGGUCCUGUGUGAAUGCUGGAGACCUCCAAAUCAAACUGACCAGAAAGAGAAGCAGCCAACAUCUGAAACAGAUAGCUUUUCCAAGAUGGCUGCACCAAGCCUGUACACCUUUUACUCACUGUUGCACCUUACCUUAUUUUCUGUCUGUCUGUCUUGGAAAGACAAUACUCUUAUCCACAUCUCCCAAUCUAUUGCCAAAAGGGUAAAUCUUUCUGACUGUUGGGUUUGUCAUCAGAAGCCUCAUUCUGUACAUGAAUCUAGAGAAUCUUUUAGCACAUUUAAUUACCAAUCUCUCCACCAUUCCUCUCCUAAUUCCUUAUGCUGUCUAGAACUCCUUGCCUAACCAAUUGAACCUCCAGAAAUUGAACUGGUAACAUUGUAACUAUUGUAAAUGCCUCUUGUUGAACUUGGGUAAACACCUCCAGCAAGGUAAAGACAGAACUAGACAGAAUUUGAGCACAAGCUGAAAGAUUCGAUGCAGUGCCCACUGACAUCCCGUAGUUCUUUGAUCUGUUUAGCUGGCUACCCUCAAGAACUGUCUCUUGGUUCAGGUCUAUUCUGCAAUUUGGACUUAGCAUUUUGUUUAUUAUUAUAGAAAUUCUCACUUUUGUAAAACGUCUCUUCUGCAUGGCUUGAUGUUAUAAAAACACCACUUGGAUAAUGGUCGCUCAGUGUUUUGAAAUGAUUGCUAAAGCUUACAAGCCUUCACCUGAGAAACUUCAAGGAACUAAAGACAAUGUCUGCCCUUGAAAGAACUUGAUGGUAAGGCUUUUCUCUGCUCUGGCACUCCUGUUGCUCAAAUGUGGCCUAGGAUCUUAAGGAAAACACUUUCCCUCCUACAUGGGACAUGAAAUACUAGGAAUGAGCCUUUCUGGUUAUGAGAGACCAACAGUGCUUUGAUGACUGAUCAGCAAUACUUUCCACGAAAGGUCUUGAUCAAAAGGGGAAAAAUGUCAAAAUUGACUUUAGUGGAGCCAUUUUAAAAUGGAGUUGGAGCUGCCUCUCCAGAGAAACUGCCCUGCCGUUUUGAACCUUGGACUGGGCCAAACCUUUGGACUGGGCCAAAAUGGCCACUGUUUUACAAGCAAUUGUUUGAGGAGUCAGUAGGAGAAUGGACAUCCUGAUCACAAAGGCUGAGGAUUGCAGACUUUCUGAAGAUAGAAUCAAUACUCAAUCAAUGCUUAGCCAAGACUAACUUCUGCCUCCAACUCCAGUUAAAAUUCUUUGUAACAUAAACCUCCCUUCUUUGCCUUUAAAAGCCCCUGACUUUUACUUCCUAGCUGGAUGCUAUCUGUGCUCCCCAAAAUGAAAUUCUUUGAUCCCAAAUAAAUGCUUUGCCUCUUAA
Equus asinus (donkey) is the source of this 3837-nucleotide long non-coding RNA. Lineage: Eukaryota; Metazoa; Chordata; Mammalia; Perissodactyla; Equidae. The record is from Ensembl.